RNAcentral lists this long non-coding RNA (820 nucleotides) under Struthio camelus australis. RNAcentral describes it as "lncRNA (ENSSCUG00000016385.1)". The record is from RNAcentral. Lineage: Eukaryota; Metazoa; Chordata; Aves; Struthioniformes; Struthionidae.
CUCCGCUCCCUGUGCCGGCUGCUGUCGGCAGGGUAAUUCCCCCGGAGCGGCUCCAGGAGAGCUGGGCACGGGAUCCGGCCCCAAGGCUGUAGUUUACUGCUGGGUAUGUGGGUAUAACUGUGGGAGAAACGCUGUUGAAUUGUCUGAAAGCGUUUUUUCCUUUGCUGGAAUUUAAAUGUUCUCAGCAACGUCUAAGGGCGAAGAGUCAGACUACAAAGCGACAAGAUGGACUAUGUUUGGAAAUGAAAAAGAAUGAGCGUGACUGAUGAGAGUGGGGUGCCCGUCCCCCUGCUGACUGUCACUCCUCCAAAGAGGCACGAAAGACCGAGUAUCAAAGAACAACGCAUCUUGCAAGUCGCCUGUGACCGUGCCAGUCAUGAACUGUGGUUGAAACGAGCCAUGCUACACGUCCCUGCACAAAAGCCGAAUCUUAUCCACUUGAUACUGGUGCACGGGAGCAAGCCUGGGAAGUGGGACUUUAUUCACUGUCUUCGGGAUGAUGACUUCAGCAAUGAAGAAUAUGAAAUAAAUCAGCGGAAUGAACAAUAUAGUGACAACUUGUCAGGUUUAUACUAGCAACUUUCUACUCUUUGGAAAUAUCUAAAUAGGACUGGACGUUUAUAUGAAAUAUGGACAGAUGUGUGGUUCCAUUAGACAGGGUAAAUGCAUACAGGAUAUAAACUCUCUUCCUUUCUGUCAGUGCAUCCCACCGCCCGAGGUUAAAAACAGCCUUACUGAAUAAUUUCCCGUUAUGAGGUUUGGAAUAUGGGCCUCUCUUGGAGACAAGAUGCUGGGUGAGACGGAUGAUUAGUUAGAUCUG